RNAcentral lists this ribosomal RNA (586 nucleotides) under uncultured bacterium. RNAcentral describes it as "partial 16S ribosomal RNA". It matches the Rfam family "Bacterial small subunit ribosomal RNA", at positions 355 to 940 of the family's 1533-position model. The record is from RNAcentral.
UGGGGAAUUUUGGACAAUGGGCGAAAGCCUGAUCCAGCAAUGCCGCGUGUGUGAAGAAGGCCUUCGGGUUGUAAAGCACUUUUGUCCGGAAAGAAAUCCUUGGCUCUAAUACAGUCGGGGGAUGACGGUACCGGAAGAAUAAGCACCGGCUAACUACGUGCCAGCAGCCGCGGUAAUACGUAGGGUGCAAGCGUUAAUCGGAAUUACUGGGCGUAAAGCGUGCGCAGGCGGUUUGCUAAGACCGAUGUGAAAUCCCCGGGCUCAACCUGGGAACUGCAUUGGUGACUGGCAGGCUAGAGUAUGGCAGAGGGGGGUAGAAUUCCACGUGUAGCAGUGAAAUGCGUAGAGAUGUGGAGGAAUACCGAUGGCGAAGGCAGCCCCCUGGGCCAAUACUGACGCUCAUGCACGAAAGCGUGGGGAGCAAACAGGAUUAGAUACCCUGGUAGUCCACGCCCUAAACGAUGUCAACUAGUUGUUGGGGACUUCAUUUCCUUAGUAACGUAGCUAACGCGUGAAGUUGACCGCCUGGGGAGUACGGUCGCAAGAUUAAAACUCAAAGGAAUUGACGGGAUCAUAGCUGUUUCCU